RNAcentral lists this ribosomal RNA (208 nucleotides) under uncultured bacterium. RNAcentral describes it as "partial 16S ribosomal RNA". It matches the Rfam family "Bacterial small subunit ribosomal RNA", at positions 568 to 775 of the family's 1533-position model. The record is from RNAcentral.
CGCGUAGGCGGUAAUGUAAGUCAGAUGUGAAAUCCUUCGGCUCAACUGAAGAACUGCAUCUGAAACUGCAUAACUAGAGUACAGAAGAGGGAAACGGAAUUCCCGGUGUAGAGGUGAAAUUCGUAGAUAUCGGGAGGAACACCAGUGGCGAAGGCGGUUUCCUGGUCUGAUACUGACGCUGAGGCGCGAAAGCGUGGGGAGCAAACAG